Molecule: transfer RNA, 72 nt
Filed under: Caudoviricetes sp.
Lineage: Duplodnaviria; Heunggongvirae; Uroviricota; Caudoviricetes
Description: tRNA-OTHER
Rfam family: tRNA
About the family: Transfer RNA (tRNA) molecules are approximately 80 nucleotides in length.
Source: RNAcentral
ACGCGUAAAUACGUUAUAAAAACUUGCCUCACACGCGAGAGGUCAACGGUUCGAGUCCGUUCGUGUCCACCA